AGUGAACGCUGGCGGUAGGCCUAACACAUGCAAGUCGAACGGCAGCACAGUAAGAGCUUGCCCUUACGGGUGGCGAGUGGCGGACGGGUGAGGAAUACAUCGGAAUCUACUUUUUCGUGGGGGAUAACGUAGGGAAACUUACGCUAAUACCGCACACGACCUACGGGUGAAAGCAGGGGAUCUUUGGACCUUGUGCGAUUGAAUGAGCCGAUGUCGGAUUAGCUAGUUGGCGGGGUAAAGGCCCACCACGGCGACGAUCCGUAGCUGGUCUGAGAGGAUGGUCAGCCACACUGGAACUGAGACACGGUCCAGACUCCUACGGGAGGCAGCAGUGGGGAAUAUUGGACAAUGGGCGCAAGCCUGAUCCAGCCAUACCGCGUGAGUGAAGAAGGCCUUCGGGUUGUAAAGCCCUUUUGUUGGGAAAGAAAAGCAUCAGGUUAAUACCCCGCUGUUCUGACGGUACCCAAAGAAUAAGCACCGGCUAACUUCGUG
RNAcentral lists this ribosomal RNA (492 nucleotides) under uncultured bacterium. Its description in RNAcentral is "partial 16S ribosomal RNA". It matches the Rfam family "Bacterial small subunit ribosomal RNA", at positions 29 to 507 of the family's 1533-position model. The record is from RNAcentral.